Molecule: ribosomal RNA, 413 nt
Filed under: Mollusca sp. MM01035
Lineage: Eukaryota; Metazoa; Mollusca
Also listed under: 1 other name
Description: SSU rRNA
Rfam family: Eukaryotic small subunit ribosomal RNA
Source: RNAcentral
CAAUAGCGUAUACUAAAGUUGUUGCGAUUAAAAAGCUCGUAGUUGGAUCUCAGGCAUGGGCGCACGGUCCGCCUCGCGGCGGUCACUGUGUGUUUUGUUUCCCAUCCUACGCUUCCCGGUCCUAACCCAUGGUGCCCUUAAUUGGGCGUUUUGGGUGGCCGGAACGUUUACUUUGAAGAAAUUAGAGUGUUCAAAGCAGGCACGUUGCCUGAAUAAUGGUGCAUGGAAUAAUGGAAUAGGACCUCGGUUCUAUUUUGCUGGUUUUCGGAACACGAGGUAAUGAUUAAGAGGGACAGACGGGGGCAUCCGUAUUGCGGUGUUAGAGGUGAAAUUCUUGGAUCAUCGCAAGACGAACAACUGCGAAAGCAUUUGCCAAGCAUGUUUUCAUUAGUCAAGAACGAAAGUCAGAGGUU